GACGAACGCUAGCGGCGUGCCUAAGCUAUGCAAGUCGAGCGGGGUUUCAGAGUCGAGUUUCCUUCGGGAGACAAAGCACUGAAACCUAGCGGCGAACGGGUGAGUAACACGUGAGCAACCUACCCUGUUGUCCGGGAUAACAGACCGAAAGGCCUGCUAAUACCGGAUACGAAGCUCCUUCGCAUGUUGGAGCUUGGAAAGGGGCAACCCGCAAUGGGAGGGGCUUACGGCCUAUCAGCUAGUUGGUGAGGUAACGGCCCACCAAGGCGACGACGGGUAGCCGACCUGAGAGGGUGACCGGCCACACUGGGACUGAGACACGGCCCAGACUCCUACGGGAGGCAGCAAGCGGGAAUCUUGCACAAUGGGCGCAAGCCUGAUGCAGCGACGCCGCGUGAGGGAUGAAGGCCUUCGGGUCGUAAACCUCUGUUGAUGGGGACGAAGAUCUGACGGUAC
This 456-nucleotide ribosomal RNA is filed under the name uncultured bacterium. RNAcentral's name for it is "bacterial SSU rRNA". It matches the Rfam family "Bacterial small subunit ribosomal RNA", at positions 28 to 478 of the family's 1533-position model. The record is from RNAcentral.